Molecule: small RNA, 1910 nt
Filed under: Rattus norvegicus (Norway rat)
Lineage: Eukaryota; Metazoa; Chordata; Mammalia; Rodentia; Muridae
Description: uncharacterized LOC108351950
Source: RNAcentral
CUGGCAGCCACUGAGAAAUCCAGUGACUUCUCCCUCCUUUCCCUUCUAGAUCCAGGAAAAUCCUGGCUGGUACCCACCUGGACUGUGACCUCGUGGGAAAGGCAGCAAAUCCACCCUACAGUCCAUGUUUCAUGUGAUUAUCUUGGGAUCUCAUCUGGAACCUAGAACCCACAGUUCCGAAACAAACUGAAGCUGAUCCAGAUUGACUGCGGCAGCAGUAGGGCAGAUUCAGUAAUUUCUCUGUGCGGGUCCUGUUGUUCUGGUUUUAGUUUUUCUGUGGACGUCGAAGCAUUUUCACGGUGAACGCUGACCACCAGAAGACGGUGGAAACAAAGCACGCUGAUGGAUUUCAGGGAAAGAAGCCACUGCUAACAAUUAGCUCUGUCACAGGCUUAGAUUCAUCUUGUCUCCCAGACAAGUACAAGCAGUGUCUUUGGUAACUGGUUUUCGGAAACACAUUGACAGGAGUGAGAAGUCAGAGAAGGCAAGCUGACAGAGGGGGCCCAACAUACCCAUUACUGGAGGGGAGGGAGGGCAGCUGGCAUUAGGGUUGCUAGAGGAUUCCAGGAGACAGCAGAGUAUACACUGGCAGUAUAUGGAACGUAUUUCAGAGUUAUUAUAGACAAAGGGGUAUCUGUCCAUUAACCGUCCAUCUGUCAUUGGUUGAGGGUGGCUUCCUGGGAGAUUAUGUCUCAGGCAUGUCUGGUCCUCCUUAUAUGAGAAUUCAGCAUAUUCUUGUGGCUAUAGAGGGUUUUAUAAAUGUUUUCCAUAAGCAGCCUUGAGGAGGGAGAUGUGGGUAGGAUACUAAUAGCAUCUGCCACAAUUCUUCAAAUUUCCCCAUGUUUGAAUGUUUCAGGCACCAGAUUAAAUGUAUAUUAUUUCAUUUAUUAAUUGAUUAAUAAUCUCCAUUUUCCCAGGCCCUGAAGGUAGGGGGAAGGGAUGUGAAAUAAAGAGUGAUUUGCCUAUGAUCUCACAGUCAGCUAAUGGUAGAGUCAGGAUUUGAACCUAAAAAAUUUCAGGGGCAAAGUACUGGCUCCUCAAAGAGUUUAUAAUCAGUUGAGGGAACAAAAAUAGACUCUAAGUUGUAGGUAUCAAGCCUACCCGUUCCAUGAAGUAUGGGCCAGAGUUCAGCUUAGGAUUCAGCAAUGGUAUUGAGGUGCAGAAAUUCAGUGUAGGUCAAGGAGGAUCAAAGGAGAUGACUCAGUGGGAAAAACGUUUGCUGCACCAAGAGGAUCUGAAUUCAGAUCCCCAACAUCCACCUUGAAGCUAGGGAUUCAUACAUGUAAUGCUGGUGCUGGUGGAGAGGAGGCAGGCAGAUUCUAUGGGCUAGGCAGCCAGGCUAGCUGAAAUUGUAUCUUCCCGUUUCAGUGGGAGAGCCUGUCUCCAAACAUACAGUGGCAAACAAAAGGGAAAGAUCUCCGAUGCUGACCUCUAGUCUCCACACAUUCGUGCGUGGGCAAGCAACCCUCCUCUUGCACGCACCCACGUGAAAUCAGAACUUAUUUUCCUCCUUGAACGUGAUAGCCAGUUGUGUUUGGUCUCACUACUAGUGUAUCCUAGUAAGAAGCUCAAAGAAGAUGUAGCCCAAACCAAGCCUCUAACAUCCUCCCACAAAUGUAAUUUUUCUGUCAGCUCAUUAAUGAUUCCAUCAUUCCACCAUCCAGCAAGAUCCAACACCCAGGAUGACCUUUGGUCUCCUCUUCGACUGCACACUCCAGCUAUCCUGUACCAAAAUCUUGCUGAUCCUAAGCCACAGUAAUGCCUCUUAAUGUUGAUGGGACCUUCUUCCUUUAUGUGGGAAAAAGGGCGCAGUAUGAUAAGAACAUAGGAGAGGGUCAAAAGGCAAAAGCACAACCCAUGUCCUUUACAUGAAUGUCCAUGCUCUUUUCAGGUGACCAGUUAUUUCUGUU